This 70-nucleotide transfer RNA is filed under the name Idiomarina loihiensis. RNAcentral's name for it is "tRNA-Val". It matches the Rfam family "tRNA". From Rfam's summary of the family: Transfer RNA (tRNA) molecules are approximately 80 nucleotides in length. Their secondary structure includes four short double-helical elements and three loops (D, anti-codon, and T loops). Lineage: Bacteria; Pseudomonadati; Pseudomonadota; Gammaproteobacteria; Alteromonadales; Idiomarinaceae. The record is from RNAcentral.
UAGCUCAGUUGGUUAGAGCGCUGCCUUGACAUGGCAGAGGUCGGUUGUUCGAGUCAACUCGGACGCACCA